CUCACCAGAUUUCAGCAUGGCUC
This 23-nucleotide non-coding RNA is filed under the name Arabidopsis thaliana (thale cress). The record is from RNAcentral. Lineage: Eukaryota; Viridiplantae; Streptophyta; Magnoliopsida; Brassicales; Brassicaceae.